AGAGUUUGAUCCUGGCUCAGGAUGAACGCUGGCGGCGUGCCUAAUACAUGCAAGUCGAGCGAACGGACGAGAAGCUUGCUUCUCUGAUGUUAGCGGCGGACGGGUGAGUAACACGUGGAUAACCUACCUAUAAGACUGGGAUAACUUCGGGAAACCGGAGCUAAUACCGGAUAAUAUUUUGAACCGCAUGGUUCAAAAGUGAAAGACGGUCUUGCUGUCACUUAUAGAUGGAUCCGCGCUGCAUUAGCUAGUUGGUAAGGUAACGGCUUACCAAGGCAACGAUGCAUAGCCGACCUGAGAGGGUGAUCGGCCACACUGGAACUGAGACACGGUCCAGACUCCUACGGGAGGCAGCAGUAGGGAAUCUUCCGCAAUGGGCGAAAGCCUGACGGAGCAACGCCGCGUGAGUGAUGAAGGUCUUCGGAUCGUAAAACUCUGUUAUUAGGGAAGAACAUAUGUGUAAGUAACUGUGCACAUCUUGACGGUACCUAAUCAGAAAGCCACGGCUAACUACGUGCCAGCAGCCGCGGUAAUACGUAGGUGGCAAGCGUUAUCCGGAAUUAUUGGGCGUAAAGCGCGCGUAGGCGGUUUUUUAAGUCUGAUGUGAAAGCCCACGGCUCAACCGUGGAGGGUCAUUGGAAACUGGAAAACUUGAGUGCAGAAGAGGAAAGUGGAAUUCCAUGUGUAGCGGUGAAAUGCGCAGAGAUAUGGAGGAACACCAGUGGCGAAGGCGACUUUCUGGUCUGUAACUGACGCUGAUGUGCGAAAGCGUGGGGAUCAAACAGGAUUAGAUACCCUGGUAGUCCACGCCGUAAACGAUGAGUGCUAAGUGUUAGGGGGUUUCCGCCCCUUAGUGCUGCAGCUAACGCAUUAAGCACUCCGCCUGGGGAGUACGACCGCAAGGUUGAAACUCAAAGGAAUUGACGGGGACCCGCACAAGCGGUGGAGCAUGUGGUUUAAUUCGAAGCAACGCGAAGAACCUUACCAAAUCUUGACAUCCUUUGACAACUCUAGAGAUAGAGCCUUCCCCUUCGGGGGACAAAGUGACAGGUGGUGCAUGGUUGUCGUCAGCUCGUGUCGUGAGAUGUUGGGUUAAGUCCCGCAACGAGCGCAACCCUUAAGCUUAGUUGCCAUCAUUAAGUUGGGCACUCUAAGUUGACUGCCGGUGACAAACCGGAGGAAGGUGGGGAUGACGUCAAAUCAUCAUGCCCCUUAUGAUUUGGGCUACACACGUGCUACAAUGGACAAUACAAAGGGCAGCGAAACCGCGAGGUCAAGCAAAUCCCAUAAAGUUGUUCUCAGUUCGGAUUGUAGUCUGCAACUCGACUACAUGAAGCUGGAAUCGCUAGUAAUCGUAGAUCAGCAUGCUACGGUGAAUACGUUCCCGGGUCUUGUACACACCGCCCGUCACACCACGAGAGUUUGUAACACCCGAAGCCGGUGGAGUAACCUUUUAGGAGCUAGCCGUCGAAGGUGGGACAAAUGAUUGGGGUGAAGUCGUAACAAGGUAGCCGUAUCGGAAGGUGCGGCUGGA
This 1534-nucleotide ribosomal RNA is filed under the name Staphylococcus aureus. RNAcentral describes it as "16S ribosomal RNA". It matches the Rfam family "Bacterial small subunit ribosomal RNA". Lineage: Bacteria; Bacillati; Bacillota; Bacilli; Caryophanales; Staphylococcaceae. The record is from RNAcentral.